AACGAACGCUGGCGGUGUGCCUAAUACAUGCAAGUCGUACGCAUUCUCGUUUCUGAUUGUCGGUGCUUGCACCUAAUUGACGAGACAUUGGAAUGAGUGGCGGACGGGUGAGUAACACGUGGGUAACCUGCCCAGAAGUGGGGGAUAACAUUUGGAAACAGAUGCUAAUACCGCAUAAAAGUCAAAACCACAUGGUUUUGAUUUAAAAGAUGGCCUUUGUGCUAUCUCUUCUGGAUGGACCCGCGGCGUAUUAGCUAGUUGGUAAGGUAAUGGCUUACCAAGGCAAUGAUACGUAGCCGAACUGAGAGGUUGAUCGGCCACAAUGGGACUGAGACACGGCCCAUACUCCUACGGGAGGCAGCAGUAGGGAAUCUUCCACAAUGGGCGCAAGCCUGAUGGAGCAACACCGCGUGAGUGAAGAAGGGUUUCGGCUCGUAAAACUCUGUUGUUAAAGAAGAACGUAUCUAAGAGUAACUGCUUAGGUAGUGACGGUAUUUAACCAGAAAGCCACGGCUAACUACGUGCCAGCAGCCGCCGUAA
This 540-nucleotide ribosomal RNA is filed under the name uncultured bacterium. Its description in RNAcentral is "partial 16S ribosomal RNA". It matches the Rfam family "Bacterial small subunit ribosomal RNA", at positions 29 to 523 of the family's 1533-position model. The record is from RNAcentral.